Molecule: long non-coding RNA, 207 nt
Filed under: Nicotiana benthamiana
Lineage: Eukaryota; Viridiplantae; Streptophyta; Magnoliopsida; Solanales; Solanaceae
Description: long non-coding RNA (NBEN_LNC001091)
Source: RNAcentral
UAGCAUUGUUAGACCUUUGUGUUAAGAUUAAGAGCGGACCUGACUAAAUUGCUUAUUCAUGUUUCAUUUCUAAAACAAAAAUAGAUGACUUUAGUAAUGGAGUAUGUCUUUUGCAUAUCUAUACCUCAGCCAAGUAAAGUACACAAUACUUUACUGUUUUUAAUAUGUUUCAUUGCGCUUUAGCUAAUUGUAAUCCCACCGUGCAUG